RNAcentral lists this ribosomal RNA (253 nucleotides) under uncultured bacterium. RNAcentral describes it as "partial 16S ribosomal RNA". It matches the Rfam family "Bacterial small subunit ribosomal RNA", at positions 524 to 776 of the family's 1533-position model. The record is from RNAcentral.
UACGAAGGGGGCUAGCGUUGCUCGGAAUUAUUGGGCGUAAAGCGCGCGUAGGCGGUUACUCAAGUCGGAUGUGAAAGCCCUCGGCUUAACUGAGGAAGUGCACCCGAAACUGAGUAGCUAGAGUACUAAAGAGGGUCGCGGAAUUCCCGGUGUAGAGGUGAAAUUCGUAGAUAUCGGGAGGAACACCGGUGGCGAAGGCGGCGACCUGGGUAGAUACUGACGCUGAGGCGCGAAAGCGUGGGGAGCAAACAGG